Molecule: long non-coding RNA, 1612 nt
Filed under: Macaca fascicularis (crab-eating macaque)
Lineage: Eukaryota; Metazoa; Chordata; Mammalia; Primates; Cercopithecidae
Description: lncRNA (ENSMFAG00000058121.1)
Source: RNAcentral
UUUUUUUUUUUUUUUUUGUAGAGAUGGGGGUCUCACUUCAUUGCCCAGGCUGUUCUCAAACCCCUGGGCUCAAGCGAUGCUUCCGCAUCGGCCUCCCCAAGUGCUGGGAUUACAGGUGUGAGCCACUGCAUCUGGUCUGUUUAUUCUUUCUUAGUGAGACUUAAAAUAACUGUGCAUCUUGAAACUGAUGUACAGUAAACAGCUGCAUCAGUCAGCCUCCUGGGAGAAAUCCCAUGGCAUACAUGAAAGAGGUCAUGAGUUUAAAACGGGAAUAUUUACAGAGGUGUGAGUCAGUGAAGGGAAGCCAACAAGGGAAGGUGCAGUGUCACAGGGCUGGUGACAUCCUGAAGGGCAAGGAGAGAGAGGGGUUACCAAAACUGGAGAGAGGCUGCAGGAGAGGGUAGGCUGUCAGAAGCUGCAGUCACUGGUAGGAAAAGGUCUAGGGGAAUAAAUACCCAACCUCAGUCUCAAGGUACCCUCUGAACUUGUGCCUACAUCUACCGUUGUGGGAACUCACCGGGAGCAGGGGUCAAGGAGUACUUGAAUGGCGUCCACAGAGACCAGAGAACAGCGUGGAGGGUCGGGGUGGGCCUAGGGGGAAAAUGGAAACCGCCCGGGGAGCACGGAACUGGGAUCCUGGUGUGCUGCUUCUGUGCACCUAACCACAGUACUAUACACUCAGGCCCCCAGGGAAAGGCAGCUGACCAGGUGGACAGGGUGUCCUGAGCUCCAGGCCGAUUUGAGAAAGCCACUGGUUCUCCACAAUCAGUGGACUCAUGUGCCCCAAUCCCACCCACGUGGCCAGGUCGAGCCUUUGGCAGCUGUCCCCACCUCUCCCCCAUCCCCUUAGCACCUGAUUUACAAUGUGGAACCCUGUGUGGGGAGAAAUGAAAUGUCUGCUACAGCCAAAACUUGGCUCCAGGAAAGCAGACAUCAGCUCACACACCCGAUGAUGGACAGCGGGACCUCGCGGUGCGGCGUGUUUACAGCUUACAAGGGUGAGUUGUGCGUAUUUCGAACUUGGCCCUGACGCCUACUUGCCCAAUCCACUUGUUGGGCGGCAUCUCUUCUGAUUUAGAGCUCUGGAUCUGCCCAUUUGAUUUCUGAAGCUAACUCUUGGGUUUGCCAAAUCUGCAGCAGGUCUGGGCUCACGGGAUCUGUGCAUGGCAGAGGCUAGGUCACCAUUCUAGCCCUCCGACCAGAACUUACAGACUGAGAAAGGGAAGGUGCUGGCCCCAGGUCACAGCACAUGAGGGAGAACGAAAACCCUGGGCGCUGUGGUCUGUUGCCUGUGUUCAGGGCUCAGCUUGGCCUUAGAUCCUUAGGCAAAGGACCUAAAUCUUGUCCUCAGUUUCCUGGUCUGCAAAAUGUGGGUGAUAAUAACACCUGCUUCACAGGGUGAUUGUGAGAAUCAAAUCAGCUAUGAGCCAGAGGGGCGGUGAGCAACUUUGAGCAGUACCUGGAGCUGGUUCAUGUCCAUGACCACAGUGAGCUAGCCCAGAGUAUGCCCUCAGUGUUUGUUGAGUGACUUCAUUAGUGUGAAGGGCUUCAUGGACUGUCACGUGUGGACAUGCUACUGGUUAUGUUAAUUAGUGCUCUGUGACAGGGCUGG